Molecule: non-coding RNA, 203 nt
Organism: Epinephelus lanceolatus (giant grouper)
Lineage: Eukaryota; Metazoa; Chordata; Actinopteri; Perciformes; Serranidae
Source: RefSeq, a predicted model, not a curated record
CGACACUGAACAGUUAACAGUGCAUGAUUGUGGAGGAGAUGGUGAGAGGAGCCAGGGCGACAAGGAAGGAGUGGAGAGUGAGGAAGAGGAGCAUCCACCUCCCCGCAAAACUGUGAGGAUGACUCCACUGGAGGAGCUUUUUGCUGACGAAGAUGCUGUAAAGAUGACAUCACUGCAGACCUCCACAUCCAUCCAGGACAGAG